RNAcentral lists this RNase P RNA (335 nucleotides) under pig gut metagenome. Its description in RNAcentral is "Bacterial RNase P class A". It matches the Rfam family "Bacterial RNase P class A". Rfam says of the family: Ribonuclease P (RNase P) is a ubiquitous endoribonuclease, found in archaea, bacteria and eukarya as well as chloroplasts and mitochondria. Its best characterised activity is the generation of mature 5'-ends of tRNAs by cleaving the 5'-leader elements of precursor-tRNAs. The record is from RNAcentral.
AGUAGGAUGAAUGAUCGCGGCUGCGUAUUGCAGGUGAGGAAAGUCCGGGCUUCAUAGGGCAGGAUGCCGGAUAACGUCCGGUGGAGGUGACUCCAAGGCUAGUGCAACAGAGAUAUACCGCCAUCGAAAUGAUGGUAAGGGUGGAAAGGCAGUGUAAGAGACUACCGUCCGGCUGGUAACAGGCGGAGCCAUGUAAACCCCAUCCGAAGCAAGACCAAAUAGAAAACCAUAGAUUUGCCCGAUCUGUUUUCAGGUAGGUCGCUUGAAACUGUUGGUGACAGCAGUUCUAGAUAGAUGAUCAUUCUCGACAUAACCCGGCUUACAGUCCUGCUUAU